GUGUUCACUUUGGCAGCACAUAUACUAAAACUGGAAGGCUAGAGAUUAAAAUGCCUUGCACAAGGAUAACAAGCUAAGUCAUGAAACCUUCCAUAUUUCA
This 100-nucleotide small nuclear RNA is filed under the name Nannospalax galili (Upper Galilee mountains blind mole rat). The record is from RNAcentral. Lineage: Eukaryota; Metazoa; Chordata; Mammalia; Rodentia; Spalacidae.